Molecule: ribosomal RNA, 435 nt
Filed under: uncultured bacterium
Lineage: Bacteria
Description: partial 16S ribosomal RNA
Rfam family: Bacterial small subunit ribosomal RNA
Source: RNAcentral
AGCGAACGCUGGCGGCAGGCUUAACACAUGCAAGUCGAGCGGGCACUUUCGGGUGUCAGCGGCGGACGGGUGAGUAACGCGUGGGAACGUGCCCUCUGGUUCGGAAUAACUCAGGGAAACUUGAGCUAAUACCGGAUACGCCCUUUUGGGGAAAGGCUUGCUGCCGGAGGAUCGGCCCGCGUCUGAUUAGCUAGUUGGUGAGGUAACGGCUCACCAAGGCGACGAUCAGUAGCUGGUCUGAGAGGAUGAUCAGCCACACUGGGACUGAGACACGGCCCAGACUCCUACGGGAGGCAGCAGUGGGGAAUAUUGGACAAUGGGCGCAAGCCUGAUCCAGCCAUGCCGCGUGAGUGAUGAAGGCCUUAGGGUUGUAAAGCUCUUUUAUCCGGGACGAUAAUGACGGUACCGGAGGAAUAAGCCCCGGCUAACUUCGGG